CCUACGGGAGGCAGCAGUGAGGAAUAUUGGUCAAUGGACGAGAGUCUGAACCAGCCAAGUAGCGUGAAGGAUGACUGCCCUAUGGGUUGUAAACUUCUUUUAUAUGGGAAUAAAAUGUUCCACGUGUGGGAUUCUGUAUGUACCAUAUGAAUAAGGAUCGGCUAACUCCGUGCCAGCAGCCGCGGUAAUACGGAGGAUCCGAGCGUUAUCCGGAUUUAUUGGGUUUAAAGGGAGCGUAGGUGGAUUGUUAAGUCAGUUGUGAAAGUUUGCGGCGCAACCGUAAAAUUGCAGUUGAAACUGGCAGUCUUGAGUACAGUAGAGGUAUGCGGAAUGCGUGGUGUAGCGGUGAAAUGCUUAGAUAUCACGAAGAACUCCUAUUGCGAAGGCAGCUCACUGGACUUCAACUGACACUGAGGCUCGAAAGUGUGGGUAUCAAACAGGAUUAGAUACCCUAGUAGUC
This 460-nucleotide ribosomal RNA is filed under the name uncultured bacterium. RNAcentral describes it as "partial 16S ribosomal RNA". It matches the Rfam family "Bacterial small subunit ribosomal RNA", at positions 338 to 795 of the family's 1533-position model. The record is from RNAcentral.